AUGAACGCAAGUGAAUUCCGAAGGAGAGGGAAGGAGAUGGUGGAUUACAUGGCCAACUACAUGGAAGGCAUUGAGGGACGCCAGGUCUACCCUGACGUGGAGCCCGGGUACCUGCGGCCGCUGAUCCCUGCCGCUGCCCCUCAGGAGCCAGACACGUUUGAGGACAUCAUCAACGACGUUGAGAAGAUAAUCAUGCCUGGGGGAAGUGCCAGUGAAGCCACCCUGGUGGCCCUGCUGGCCGCUCGGACCAAAGUGAUCCAUCGGCUGCAGGCAGCGUCCCCAGAGCUCACACAGGCCGCUAUCAUGGAGAAGCUGGUGGCUUACUCAUCCGAUCAGAUGGUUGCCACCCUGGGGACCACAACAUGCUGCUCCUUUGACAAUCUCUUAGAAGUCGGUCCUAUCUUUUGCAGAUUCAUUCAACUUUAAUCCCCACAAAUGGCUAUUGGUGAAUUUUGACUGUUCUGCCAUGUGGGUGAAAAAGAGAACAGACUUAACGGGAGCCUUUAGACUGGACCCCACUUACCUGAAGCACAGCCAUCAGGAUUCAGGGCUUAUCACUGACUACCGGCAUUGGCAGAUACCACUGGGCAGAAGAUUUCGCUCUUUGAAAAUGUGGUUUGUAUUUAGGAUGUAUGGAGUCAAAGGACUGCAGGCUUAUAUCCGCAAGCAUGUCCAGCUGUCCCAUGAGUUUGAGUCACUGGUGCGCCAGGAUCCCCGCUUUGAAAUCUGUGUGGAAGUCAUUCUGGGGCUUGUCUGCUUUCGGCUAAAGGGUUCCAACAAAGUGAAUGAAGCUCUUCUGCAAAGAAUAAACAGUGCCAAAAAAAUCCACUUGGUUCCAUGUCACCUCAGGGACAAGUUUGUCCUGCGCUUUGCCAUCUGUUCUCGCACGGUGGAAUCUGCCCAUGUGCAGCGGGCCUGGGAACACAUCAAAGAGCUGGCGGCCGACGUGCUGCGAGCAGAGAGGGAGUAGGAGUGAAGCCAGCUGCAGGAAUCAAAAAUUGAAGAGAGAUAUAUCUGAAAACUGGAAUAAGAAGCAAAUAAAUAUCAUCCUGCCUUCAUGGAACUCAGCUGUCUGUGGCUUCCCAUGUCUUUCUCCAAAGUUAUCCAGAGGGUUGUGAUUUUGUCUGCUUAGUAUCUCAUCAACAAAGAAAUAUUAUUUGCUAAUUAAAAAGUUAAUCUUCAUGGCCAUAGCUUUUAUUCAUUAGCUGUGAUUUUUGUUGAUUAAAACAUUAUAGAUUUUCAUGUUCUUGCAGUCAUCAGAAGUGGUAGGAAAGCCUCACUGAUAUAUUUUCCAGGGCAAUCAAUGUUCACGCAACUUGAAAUUAUAUCUGUGGUCUUCAAAUUGUCUUUUGUCAUGUGGCUAAAUGCCUAAUAAACAAUUCAAGUGAAAUACUAA
RNAcentral lists this unclassified non-coding RNA (1396 nucleotides) under Homo sapiens (human). Its description in RNAcentral is "aromatic-L-amino-acid decarboxylase transcript variant 21". The record is from RNAcentral. Lineage: Eukaryota; Metazoa; Chordata; Mammalia; Primates; Hominidae.